CCUAUCCUCAAUCAAACCAAAUUUCACUAAAAAUAGACCACCCUUCAAUGCCACAAAAUUAACCGGUUCCUUAGUAUACCAUAAAGAUUUUAGCACUCGGUACAUUGCUUCUCUAUUAAUUUUUUCUCCGGACAUGAACUUCCCAAUAGUCCAUGCUUCAAAUCCCUGCAAGUCUGAUUUAGUUGAGCCUUGGCAGACCACCUUUCCUUUUUCAGAUUCUGAGAACUUGAGAUUAGCCCAAAAAAAUCAUUCAAAUCAUCCAUCGCACCUUAACCUCGCAUCAAACAAAGAAAGACAAGACACCAAAACCGAGAACCAACCCACCACCCACGUCAACAAUACACCCCACAAAAGAGAAGAAAGCACCAAACACACUAGCCAGACCACCUUCCACCGCAACCCAAAGAAAACACCAGCAAUAGAACCCUAACGCAAGAAAUAAAAUCGCAGAAAUCCCAAAAAUAACAGUAAACCAAAUAACCGAAAAACCAGUUCAGUAAAAAAUAUUUAAAAACCCAGCAGACCAUACCAAAGGAAUAAAAAAACACGAAUAAAAGAAACACAAAUAGAAAAAAAAAAAUUAAACAGUCCUUUCAAAGUCCAUUUACAACCCAAAGAAAACUUGUAUAGGGAAAUACGACUAAAAUAAGACCCAAAGAGAACUGAAACUAGAAAACCACGCGAACAAGAGGAACUUCCCCACUAGUCCCCGAACACAACCUGCUCCAAAAAGUUCCCACCGUCGAAGAGAACAACCCAAGCAGGCAUCAGGACGGACCGAACAAACACCAACCACAAUCGUAGCCGAAGAAACCACGCAACCCAGGCACCACGAACAAGACACAAAAAAGGGAGAAGAAAGGUCCCCGACUCAAAACAGAAAGAGGAGAACUAAGAACCAAUUUUAAGAAAAAAACAUAAAACAAGGAAGCAUUCAAAAACCAAGCAUUUCACAAAACACACCACCGGUACAAAAGAGGAGAAUCACCCAAAAGCAAAAAUAAGAAUAGUCCAUUAAAACGGUCCAUUUACAAAACUGGAAACAAAGUAAGGGCUAAGAGAACAAACAAGAUGAAGAGAACCGUAAAGGAAACCAAGCAGAAGAACCACCACAAACAGCCCAGAUCAAGACCAAGCCAUAUGCUCCAUCCGUCGAAACAAGAACAGCCCAAGAACCUUCGCGAGGAACCGACUUCCUCCCCAAACCACCAAGGGCAUGACACCCGUCAAAAACCAAGAAAAACGUCCCCCGUCGAGGAGAGAAAGCAGCCCAAGAACACCCUGAAGAACCAGGAAGAAACGGCCACCCCUAAAAACCGAGAGCUCACCACCCC
Molecule: long non-coding RNA, 1334 nt
Filed under: Gossypium barbadense (sea-island cotton)
Lineage: Eukaryota; Viridiplantae; Streptophyta; Magnoliopsida; Malvales; Malvaceae
Description: long non-coding RNA (GBAR_LNC020132)
Source: RNAcentral